This 613-nucleotide ribosomal RNA is filed under the name Bradyrhizobium sp. RNAcentral's name for it is "bacterial SSU rRNA". It matches the Rfam family "Bacterial small subunit ribosomal RNA", at positions 128 to 775 of the family's 1533-position model. The record is from RNAcentral. Lineage: Bacteria; Pseudomonadati; Pseudomonadota; Alphaproteobacteria; Hyphomicrobiales; Nitrobacteraceae.
ACCUUUUGGUUCGGAACAACUGAGGGAAACUUCAGCUAAUACCGGAUAAGCCCUUACGGGGAAAGAUUUAUCGCCGAAAGAUCGGCCCGCGUCUGAUUAGCUAGUUGGUGAGGUAAUGGCUCACCAAGGCGACGAUCAGUAGCUGGUCUGAGAGGAUGAUCAGCCACAUUGGGACUGAGACACGGCCCAAACUCCUACGGGAGGCAGCAGUGGGGAAUAUUGGACAAUGGGCGCAAGCCUGAUCCAGCCAUGCCGCGUGAGUGAUGAAGGCCCUAGGGUUGUAAAGCUCUUUUGUGCGGGAAGAUAAUGACGGUACCGCAAGAAUAAGCCCCGGCUAACUUCGUGCCAGCAGCCGCGGUAAUACGAAGGGGGCUAGCGUUGCUCGGAAUCACUGGGCGUAAAGGGUGCGUAGGCGGGUCUUUAAGUCAGGGGUGAAAUCCUGGAGCUCAACUCCAGAACUGCCUUUGAUACUGAAGAUCUUGAGUUCGGGAGAGGUGAGUGGAACUGCGAGUGUAGAGGUGAAAUUCGUAGAUAUUCGCAAGAACACCAGUGGCGAAGGCGGCUCACUGGCCCGAUACUGACGCUGAGGCACGAAAGCGUGGGGAGCAAACAG